CCUACGGGGGCAGCAGUGGGGAAUAUUGGACAAUGGGCGAAAGCCUGAUCCAGCCAUGCCGCGUGUGUGAAGAAGGCCUUCGGGUUGUAAAGCACUUUCAGUGGGGAAGAAAGCCUUGGGGCUAAUACCCUCGAGGAAGGACAUCACCCACAGAAGAAGCACCGGCUAACUCCGUGCCAGCAGCCGCGAUAAUACGGAGGGUGCGAGCGUUAAUCGGAAUUACUGGGCGUAAAGCGCGCGUAGGCGGUCUGAUAAGCCGGUUGUGAAAGCCCCGGGCUCAACCUGGGAACGGCAUCCGGAACUGUCAGGCUAGAGUGCAGGAGAGGAAGGUAGAAUUCCCGGUGUAGCGGUGAAAUGCGUAGAGAUCGGGAGGAAUACCAGUGGCGAAGGCGGCCUUCUGGACUGACACUGACGCUGAGGUGCGAAAGCGUGGGUAGCAAACAGGAUUAGAUACCCCAGUAGUC
RNAcentral lists this ribosomal RNA (464 nucleotides) under Vreelandella stevensii. RNAcentral describes it as "partial 16S ribosomal RNA". It matches the Rfam family "Bacterial small subunit ribosomal RNA", at positions 338 to 795 of the family's 1533-position model. The record is from RNAcentral. Lineage: Bacteria; Pseudomonadati; Pseudomonadota; Gammaproteobacteria; Oceanospirillales; Halomonadaceae.